AAUAUAUUAGGACCGUCGGUCUACUGAUCAAACAUCACCCGCUCGGUGGAAAAUCUUCCCUUUGUCGU
RNAcentral lists this microRNA precursor (68 nucleotides) under Bombyx mori (domestic silkworm). RNAcentral's name for it is "mir-2774 microRNA precursor family". It matches the Rfam family "mir-2774 microRNA precursor family". The record is from Rfam by way of RNAcentral. Lineage: Eukaryota; Metazoa; Arthropoda; Insecta; Lepidoptera; Bombycidae.